RNAcentral lists this RNase P RNA (409 nucleotides) under Formicincola oecophyllae. Its description in RNAcentral is "Bacterial RNase P class A". It matches the Rfam family "Bacterial RNase P class A". Rfam says of the family: Ribonuclease P (RNase P) is a ubiquitous endoribonuclease, found in archaea, bacteria and eukarya as well as chloroplasts and mitochondria. Its best characterised activity is the generation of mature 5'-ends of tRNAs by cleaving the 5'-leader elements of precursor-tRNAs. The record is from Rfam by way of RNAcentral. Lineage: Bacteria; Pseudomonadati; Pseudomonadota; Alphaproteobacteria; Acetobacterales; Acetobacteraceae.
CCAGAUAGCCGGGCGACCGCUGCAGUCACCACUGCAGAGGAAAGUCCGGGCUCCACGGAAGAACGGUGCCGGCUAACAGCCGGCGGGGGUGACCCCAGGGACAGUGCCACAGAAACGAGACCGUCUGCCUGCUUGCCGCACGCCUUCAAAAGCUGCGCCAGGCCCAUAGGCCGACAAGGGUGAAACGGCGCGGUAAGAGCGCACCGCAGCCCUGGCAACAAGGCUGGUCAUGGUAAACCCCACCGGGAGCAAGACCGAAUAGGAACGGCAGGCCCACAAAGCCAGAAGCUCUUUCGCUUCGCUGUUCGGGUUGGUCGCGUGAGGCGGUUUGUGAGAACCGUCCCAGAUGAAUGGUCGCCCCACCCCUUUGGGGGUAGGACAGAACCCGGCUUACAGGCUGUCUGGCCUU